RNAcentral lists this ribosomal RNA (433 nucleotides) under uncultured bacterium. RNAcentral's name for it is "partial 16S ribosomal RNA". It matches the Rfam family "Bacterial small subunit ribosomal RNA", at positions 28 to 507 of the family's 1533-position model. The record is from RNAcentral.
GACGAACGCUGGCGGCGUGCUUAACACAUGCAAGUCGAACGAAACCUUCCGGCCUUUUGGCGCUCGGGUACUUAACGCCUGGGAAGUUACCCUUGGGUACCCAACAAUUCCCUGAGAGGUGUCCUAAUACCGGAUAGUGUUUUCCCUCCAACGAUCUAUCGCCUCUGGAUGGGGGCGCGUUGGAUUCGCUGGUUGGUAGGGUAAAAGCAUGCCAAGGAGACGAUGCAUAGCUGGUCUGAGAGGAUGAUCAGCCACACUGGGACUGAGACACGGCCCAGACUCGUACGGAAGGCAGCAGUGGGGAAUAUUGGACGAUGGGCGAAGGCCUAAUCCAGCAAUGCCGGGUAAGUGAUGAAGGCCGUAGGAUUGUAAAGCUCUCUUACCCGGGGUGAUAAUGACAGUACCGGGAGAAUAAGCCCCGGCUAACUACGUG